CCCUACGGCCAUGCCACCCUGAAUAUGCCUGAUCCCGUUUGAUCUCAGAAGCUAAGCAGGGUUGGGCCUGGUCAGUACCUGGAUGAGAGACCACCUAGGAAGACCAGAUGCUGUAGGUU
This 119-nucleotide ribosomal RNA is filed under the name Pteropus alecto (black flying fox). The record is from RNAcentral. Lineage: Eukaryota; Metazoa; Chordata; Mammalia; Chiroptera; Pteropodidae.